AACGAACGCUGGCGGCAGGCCUAACACAUGCAAGUCGAGCGAACCCUUCGGGGUUAGCGGCGGACGGGUUAGUAACGCGUGGGAAUAUACCCUUUGGUACGGAAUAGCCUCGGGAAACUGAGAGUAAUACCGUAUGUGCCCUUCGGGGGAAAGGACUUAUCGCCAAAGGAUUAGCCCGCGUUGGAUUAGAUAGUUGGUGGGGUAAGUGGCCUACCAAGUCUACGAUCCAUAGCUGGUUUGAGAGGAUGAUCAGCAACACUGGGACUGAGACACGGCCCAGACUCCUACGGGAGGCAGCAGUGGGGAAUCUUAGACAAUGGGCGCAAGCCUGAUCUAGCCAUGCCGCGUGGACGAUGAAGGCCUUAGGGUUGUAAAGUCCUUUCAGAUGGGAAGAUAAUGACGGUACCAUCAGAAGAAGCCCCCGGCUAACUCCGUGCCAGCAGCCGCGGUAA
RNAcentral lists this ribosomal RNA (452 nucleotides) under uncultured bacterium. RNAcentral's name for it is "bacterial SSU rRNA". It matches the Rfam family "Bacterial small subunit ribosomal RNA", at positions 29 to 523 of the family's 1533-position model. The record is from RNAcentral.